AUAUUUGAAGAAUAAAUUAAAAAAAGAAAGAAAGAAAAGGAUUAAAGUUAUAUUUAAAUUUAUUUUAUUUAACCCUUCAAAAUAAAAACAGAAAUUUAUAACUUAACAAUUUUAAAAGAAAUACUGGAAUAAAUAUUAGUGAAAUUAAUUUAAUAUAAAUCAAAGCUAUGUCUCUAAUGAAAUAAUUAAGAUAUUAAAAGAAAGUGGACCUACCUAAACUAUCAAAGAGCUUGAUACCCAUAUUUGUGACCACUCAACUGACAUUUUGAUGCACAUGUUGCUGUUCCACAUCUUAUGUGGGGAUUAAUUUAAAAUUUUAGAUUAGAUACCUUAAUUAAACACAUUACUUUAAAUAAUGGAGGACAAAUGAACCUAUUGUCAUGAUAUGCCAAAUACACCAUAUCGAAUUGAUAAAUAAGCAUAUACUUUAUCCUAUUGAAUUAAAGUUUGACAACCAAAUGGUAAUAUCUAUGAAAUGGCUGGUCCAAAGCCACUGUAUCUUUUUUACCAUUACUUUAUUGCAAAAAGGUGACUCUUCAUGUACCGGAAUAUAUUUAGCAUUGUUCGGCCAUGAAAGUUUUUUAUACUUUUAAAUGUGGGGUUUGGACAAAGUUGUUUUCUUUGUUAUAUUCUAUGUGCUCGGGCUUCUGUCCAUUGCAAUAUAAAAUAUAGCAAUCAAUCUGGCAUCUCCACUCUUAUAACCUACACUUUCACACACAAUAAUAGAAAUGUUCUUCAUGUUUUAAACUAUGCGAAACAUAUGGAAUCAUGGCAUUUCUAUAUAUUCUAGAUUGGACCAAAACUCAAUCCACGUAAGACUAUAUUACUUAUGUCUAAUUAAGUGGAGCAAUGAAUAUCCAUAUUUUUAGAGAUACUCUCUAUUAGGGUCUAUCAGAUCCUAUUAAACUGAGACCCUAUGAACCGUUAGAUGAGACUGUUAAGAUUGAUUAAGAAUAUAUAUGUUGAUAUUCUUUACAAUGGAGUAUGAUUGUCUGUGAAGACAAUAAAAAUUUAUGUAUUAUUUUUAAUUAAUGUGGAGAUUGUUGGGGUCGAUGGAAAUAUACAUGUUGAAGAAGUCACACAUCGCUUAGUUUUGUGAUUGAAGAGAGUUCAAAGUUAUAUAUAGGAUACAAGUUCUUUGAAGUCCUACAUCGCUUAGUUUUGUGAAGGAAGAGAGAGUCCAAGAGUAUAUAUAUGAUUCAAGUUCUUCAUUCCAAGAUGCACAAAUCAAAAACACUUUAAGCUUGUAUUUGACUUUCUUUGUUCCCUUAUAGUGUUGUGAGAUGUAGUUAAAUAUUUUUUUAGGGUGUGGGUGUACUAGGGAGGGGUCUGAGUUAGUUGAGGGUAUAUUAUAUGUUGUAACAAUUUUCACAGUGUUAUUUUCUUGUUGUCUAUUGACAACGGUCGUGGUUUUUUCUUCGAUUUUGGAGUUUCUACGUUAUGUUCUUGUGUUGUGAUUGUGUUCCUCUUUUUCUCUAUGUUUUGUUUGUUUUUCCCCAACAACUGAUAUAAGAGCUUUUGGUUUGAUUUGAGGAUAAACGUUAUUAGUAUGUUUUGUGGUUGUAGUUUUUUUG
Molecule: long non-coding RNA, 1574 nt
Filed under: Lathyrus oleraceus (garden pea)
Lineage: Eukaryota; Viridiplantae; Streptophyta; Magnoliopsida; Fabales; Fabaceae
Description: Pisum sativum (pea) long non-coding RNA (PSAT_LNC034808)
Source: RNAcentral